Molecule: ribosomal RNA, 238 nt
Filed under: uncultured bacterium
Lineage: Bacteria
Description: partial 16S ribosomal RNA
Rfam family: Bacterial small subunit ribosomal RNA
Source: RNAcentral
CGGAACGGGUGAGUAACGCGUGAGGAACCUGCCUCAAAGAGGGGGACAACAGUUGGAAACGACUGCUAAUACCGCAUAAGCCCACGGCUCGGCAUCGAGCAGAGGGAAAAGGAGCAAUCCGCUUUGAGAUGGCCUCGCGUCCGAUUAGCUAGUUGGUGAGGUAACGGCCCACCAAGGCGACGAUCGGUAGCCGGACUGAGAGGAUGAACGGCCACACUGGAACUGAGACACGGUCCAA